Molecule: long non-coding RNA, 2040 nt
Filed under: Sus scrofa (pig)
Lineage: Eukaryota; Metazoa; Chordata; Mammalia; Artiodactyla; Suidae
Description: lncRNA (ENSSSCG00035018099.1)
Source: RNAcentral
GGGCCUGGGACAUGAUGUGGCCACUUGUAGGCGUGCUGCUGGGCCUGGACUGCUGUUUGCCUUGGGAUCGAGGACAGGAAUCCUGAUGGUGACGAGGUGUGGCGAUGGUGACCAGGUGUGGUGAUGGUGACCAGGUGUGAUGGUGACCAGGUGUGGCGAUGGUGACCAGGUGUGGCGAUGGUGUGGCGAUGGUGUCCAGGUGUGGUGAUGGUGACCAGGUGUGGUGAUAGUGACCAGGUGUGAUGGUGACCAGGUGUGGCGAUGGUGACCAGGUGUGGCGAUGGUGACCAGGUAUGGCGAUGGUGACCAGGUGUGAUGGUGACCAGGUGUGAUGGUGACCAGGUGUGAUGCUGUAGAAAGGCGGGCGACAGGUUCCUAGAUCCUGGUCCUGGGAGAAAACACCAAACGCUCCCUGCCCCACACGCUUGCGCGGAGGGAGAGCUUGGCCAAACUGUACCUGACAGUGCUGGGCUGUCACACGUGGUCGUUAGAGCAUUAGCCGUGUUAGCAGCGGUUCUCCUCAACUCUCUCUCCCGAGCGAGUUGCCCUUGACUCUUGGGAAAAGCACGAUUAUGAGCACAGGUGAUUGCAGGGCCACGGAGCAGUGGCGGCGCGUGUGGUCUUGAGUGUGGGGCUGCUGCCCCAGUCCCAGUACCUCUGCCCUCAGGCCCCUUGCCAGGCCCCAGCAGGCUGGGGCAUCACUGGCGGCCACGGCCCCCUUGGCUGCGGGUUCUGCAUGCUUUGUUUCCGCAUGGGACCCCUGCCUCGUGUUUCUAAAAAUAGCCCCCGUUCCCCGGAGGGUCCCUGGCACAGGCCCCACCCGGCCAGGGUGCGGAUCCCGUUCCAGGGCCCGGCUGUGUGCCCAGGGCUCUUUUCCACCUUUCGCCAGGUUGCCAGACCCUUCUGGGCACCCGAGGCUGGAAGAAAGCAGAGUGUGGGGGGCCUGUCCUGAGAGGGGCAUCGUGACAGCUCGGCUUCGGAGGCUGGGUGGGCGCUGAGGGCCGGGGGGACCCAAGCACAGCAGCGCCCCCCCCCCGCCCUGGGCCCCCCUGCUCCCCGUCAUCCUGGCCCAGGACACCUCGUGCGUCUCAGGAGCCCCUUCCAGAAGGUUCUGUGACUCAGGAGUCCUGCCCAGUGUGGGGCUCGGUGGGUGUCGGGGGGCAGGCAGGGGCGGGGUGCAGUUUCUGCCUUGGCUAUUAUCACAUUUAAAACUAGGCGGGCGCUGGGGCCUGGCCCUGCUGUGCCCCGGGGCCUCCGUCCUGCUGUCAGCCAGGCCCGUGGGGGGCACGUGGGGCCGGUGACCCCACCCGGAAGUGGAGCAGGUGUCCUGGGCAUCACAGGGUGGAGAGCAUGCUUUGCAGCAAACUCGCGUGGAGUCGUGAAGGCCGCGAGCCGGAGUGUGGUCAGUGCCGCCGCGAGGCCCUAAGAUGGGCCCGUGUGGAGCCUAGACGUGCGCGCAGGUGGGCUGGCCCGGGUCAGGGGUUAGGCUCACACGGUGGGGCUUAUUCCCGGGGCAAGAGCUGUGUCCCCGUAAACCAGUGUCUAGAAGCAGGACUGACUGCGGCGGGCAGCGUUCCCUGAGACCUCAGAUCCCCAAGUAAUGACAUAAAUAUUUGCGUACUGAGCGCAGUCUCCGUUUUGGGGAACCCCUGUAACCCCGAGUUUGCCCACAGCGCUUCACUCCGUCUCUGUGUUUGCUGCCUGCAGGUGAGACGUGGUGAGACGUGAUCCCAAAUGUGCUUAGAGGAGAAGGGCGUGAGGAGAGCGUCUGCCGGAGUCCUCUGGGCGCACUCGGGGGUGCGCGUGUGCGUGUGCAAAUGGGUUUAAACUUGAAACGCAGGUUUCCUCGGUCCAUUCGUCUGCGGGCGGCUAGAAUUCAGUGACAGGGAAAGAGAGCUGCACAUGUGCCAAUAACUUGAGCAUGACUGACAGCCAGACGAAGUUGGUAUUCUUUCUGCAAUUCUGGAAACUUCUAGAAGAUAUGUUGGAAUGCUCUUUUGAAAAUAGUUCAUGUAGAAAUAGUGUUAUAUACACAAAAAU